RNAcentral lists this ribosomal RNA (497 nucleotides) under uncultured bacterium. RNAcentral's name for it is "partial 16S ribosomal RNA". It matches the Rfam family "Bacterial small subunit ribosomal RNA", at positions 28 to 507 of the family's 1533-position model. The record is from RNAcentral.
GAUGAACGCUGGCGGCGUGCCUAAUACAUGCAAGUCGAGCGAACAGACGAGGAGCUUGCUCCUCUGACGUUAGCGGCGGACGGGUUAGUAACACGUGGAUAACCUACCUAUAAGACUGGGAUAACUUCGGGAAACCGGAGCUAAUACCGGAUAAUAUAUUGAACCGCAUGGUUCAAUAGUGAAAGACGGUUUUGCUGUCCCUUAUAGAUGGAUCCGAGCCGCAUUAGCUAGUUGGUAAGGUAACGGCUUACCAAGGCAACGAUGCGUAGCCGACCUGAGAGGGUGAUCGGCCACACUGGAACUGAGACACGGUCCAGACUCCUACGGGAGGCAGCAGUAGGGAAUCUUCCGCAAUGGGCGAAAGCUUGACGGAGCAACGCCGCGUGAGUGAUGAAGGUCUUCGGAUCGUAAAACUCUGUUAUUAGGGAAGAACAAAUGUGUAAGUAACUAUGCACGUCUUGACGGUACCUAAUCAGAAAGCCACGGCUAACUACGUG